RNAcentral lists this ribosomal RNA (344 nucleotides) under uncultured fungus. Its description in RNAcentral is "SSU rRNA". It matches the Rfam family "Eukaryotic small subunit ribosomal RNA", at positions 292 to 636 of the family's 1831-position model. The record is from RNAcentral. Lineage: Eukaryota; Fungi.
GGUUCAUUCAAAUUUCUGCCCUAUCAACUUUCGAUGGUAAGGUAUUGGCUUACCAUGGUUUCAACGGGUAACGGGGAAUUAGGGUUCGAUUCCGGAGAGGGAGCCUGAGAAACGGCUACCACAUCCAAGGAAGGCAGCAGGCGCGCAAAUUACCCAAUCCCGACCGGGGAGGUAGUGACAAUAAAUACUGAUACAGGGCUCUUUUGGGUCUUGUAAUUGGAAUGAGUACAAUUUAAACCUCUUGACGAGGAACAAUUGGAGGGCAAGUCUGGUGCCAGCAGCCGCGGUAAUUCCAGCUCCAAUAGCGUAUAUUAAAGUUGUUGCAGUUAAAAAGCUCGUAGUUG